ACUCUCAUAACAUGGGAGUGGCCUUCCAUACCCGUGAUAACAAGGGCCUCCACCAUGUCCUUGAUAACAUUCCAUGCAACACGCUCUCACCGGCGGUGGGUAGUCUGGUAUUAGUUCAGGAGCCUUAGGUGGCGGCGCAGGUGCCGGUGCUGGAGCUGGCGCCGGCGCCGGAGCCGGAGCCUUAGGUGGCGGUGCAGGUGCAGGUGCUGGUGCCGGUGCUGGAGCCGGAGCCGGAGCCUUAGGCUUUUCUGCUUGCUUUGGCUUUUCUGGCUCUUUAGGCUUCUCUGGUUGUUUAGGCUUCUCGGGCUCCUUAGGCUUCUCUUUAGGCUUCUCGGGUUCCUUAGGCUUUUCAGGCUGUUUAGGCUUCUCAGGCUCCUUGGGCUUCUCUUGUGGUUUAG
Molecule: long non-coding RNA, 398 nt
Filed under: Manihot esculenta (cassava)
Lineage: Eukaryota; Viridiplantae; Streptophyta; Magnoliopsida; Malpighiales; Euphorbiaceae
Description: long non-coding RNA (MESC_LNC011622)
Source: RNAcentral